This 253-nucleotide ribosomal RNA is filed under the name uncultured bacterium. RNAcentral's name for it is "partial 16S ribosomal RNA". It matches the Rfam family "Bacterial small subunit ribosomal RNA", at positions 524 to 776 of the family's 1533-position model. The record is from RNAcentral.
UACGGAGGGGGCUAGCGUUGUUCGGAAUUACUGAGCGUAAAGCGCGCGUAGGCGGACCUGCAAGUCGGGGGUGAAAGCCCGAGGCUCAACCUCGGAACUGCCUUCGAUACUGCGGGUCUCGAGUCCGGGAGAGGUGAGUGGAAUUCCUAGUGUAGAGGUGAAAUUCGUAGAUAUUAGGAAGAACACCAGUGGCGAAGGCGGCUCACUGGCCCGGUACUGACGCUGAGGCGCGAAAGCGUGGGGAGCGAACAGG